AUGAUGCUGGUGUGCUCCGCCCAAGUGUCUGAUCUAGGGGCCAAUUGGAAGGUAAGUGGAAAGCCUGGCAUGGAGGCACAUAGGCUUGCUGAUUAUGUUUCUGGAUUGGCCCUUGAGAAGGAGACCAAAGCAAACUUCAGCAGGUAUCAGGUAUCUAAGAAUGCUGAUGAUUACACUCGGAGCAAGCCUUGUCGCGGCGCUGCAAGUGUUGCCCCCCUCCUCAAGGGCAAGGUGAAGGAAGGUGCCUGUGUGGUUCUUCUGCAGCUCGCAACGAGGAUUGCUGUGUCCCUGCACAAGAAUGCCAAGAAGUCCUUCUCAGAGACGAUUAAGGACAUGUACAUGCACUACAACGAGAGAUCUGGGCUGCUUCUUUGUGGCUUCCAAACUUGA
RNAcentral lists this ribosomal RNA (390 nucleotides) under Triticum aestivum (bread wheat). RNAcentral describes it as "partial small subunit ribosomal RNA". Lineage: Eukaryota; Viridiplantae; Streptophyta; Magnoliopsida; Poales; Poaceae. The record is from RNAcentral.